UGCUUCUCCCCGGCGACGAGUGGCGAACGGGUGAGUAAUACAUCGGAACGUGUCCGCUCGUGGGGGACAACCAGCCGAAAGGUUGGCUAAUACCGCAUGAGUUCUACGGAAGAAAGAGGGGGACCCGCAAGGGCCUCUCGCGAGCGGAGCGGCCGUUGACUGAUUAGCCGGUUGGUGAGGUAACGGCUCACCAAAGCAACGAUCAGUAGCUGGUCUGAGAGGACGACCAGCCACACUGGGACUGAGACACGGCCCAGACUCCUACGGGAGGCAGUAGUGGGGAAUUUUGGACAAUGGGCGCAAGCCUGAUCCAGCUAUUCCGCGUGUGGGAUGAAGGCCCUCGGGUUGUAAACCACUUUUGUAGAGAACGAAAAGACACCUUUUAAAAAAGGGUGUUGCUGACGGUACUCUAAGAAUAAGCACCGGCUAACUACGUGCCAGCAGCCGCGGUAAUACGUAGGGUGCGAGCGUUAAUCGGAAUUACUGGGCGUAAAGGGUGCGCAGGCGGUUGAGUAAGACAGAUGUGAAAUCCCCGAGCUUAACUCGGGAAUGGCAUAUGUGACUGCUCGACUAGAGUGUGUCAGAGGGAGGUGGAAUUCCACGUGUAGCAGUGAAAUGCGUAGAUAUGUGGAAGACACCGAUGGCGAAGGCAGCCUCCUGGGACAUAACUG
This 671-nucleotide ribosomal RNA is filed under the name uncultured beta proteobacterium. RNAcentral describes it as "bacterial SSU rRNA". It matches the Rfam family "Bacterial small subunit ribosomal RNA", at positions 76 to 742 of the family's 1533-position model. The record is from RNAcentral. Lineage: Bacteria; Pseudomonadati; Pseudomonadota; Betaproteobacteria.